CCUACGGGUGGCAGCAGUGGGGAAUAUUGGACAAUGGGGGGAACCCUGAUCCAGCCAUGCCGCGUGUGUGAAGAAGGCCCUCGGGUUGUAAAGCACUUUCAGUGAGGAAGAACGCCUGGUGGUUAAUACCCAUCAGGAAAGACAUCACUCACAGAAGAAGCACCGGCUAACUCCGUGCCAGCAGCCGCGGUAAUACGGAGGGUGCGAGCGUUAAUCGGAAUUACUGGGCGUAAAGCGCGCGUAGGUGGCUUGAUAAGCCGGUUGUGAAAGCCCCGGGCUCAACCUGGGAACGGCAUCCGGAACUGUCAAGCUAGAGUGCAGGAGAGGAAGGUAGAAUUCCCGGUGUAGCGGUGAAAUGCGUAGAGAUCGGGAGGAAUACCAGUGGCGAAGGCGGCCUUCUGGACUGACACUGACACUGAGGUGCGAAAGCGUGGGUAGCAAACAGGAUUAGAUACACGGGUAGUC
RNAcentral lists this ribosomal RNA (465 nucleotides) under Vreelandella stevensii. RNAcentral describes it as "partial 16S ribosomal RNA". It matches the Rfam family "Bacterial small subunit ribosomal RNA", at positions 338 to 795 of the family's 1533-position model. Lineage: Bacteria; Pseudomonadati; Pseudomonadota; Gammaproteobacteria; Oceanospirillales; Halomonadaceae. The record is from RNAcentral.